This 301-nucleotide ribosomal RNA is filed under the name uncultured bacterium. RNAcentral describes it as "partial 16S ribosomal RNA". It matches the Rfam family "Bacterial small subunit ribosomal RNA", at positions 509 to 808 of the family's 1533-position model. The record is from RNAcentral.
CAGCCGCCACGGUAAUACGUAGGUGGCGAGCGUUGUCCGGAAUUAUCGGGCGUAAGGGGAGCGCAGGCGGGCGAGUAAGUCUUUCUUAAAAGUGCGGGGCUCAACCCCGUGGGGGGAGGGAAACUACUCAUCUUGAGUGCAGGAGAGGAAAGCGGAAUUCCUAGUGUAGCGGUGAAAUGCGUAGAUGUGUGGAGGAAUACCGAUGGCGAAGGCAGCCCCCUGGGAUAACACUGACGCUCAUGCACGAAAGCGUGGGGAGCAAACAGGAUUAGAGACCCCAGUAGUCCCUGUCUCUUAUACA